GUCCGCAAUAAUCAUGAUAAUGUGUAAGAAUAUUUUAACUUGAAUUUGAAUUUUGACCAACUUCAGUUUUUUUUCUGUUCAAUUAUUUUGUUCGUGUAUUCAUUUGACAGUUUGAGAUAUGACAUGUGAAUCAGAAUUAUAACCCCUGGUUUCUAUAGAAUAUACAUACUGGCGCCAAAAAACCAAUGUGAAAAAUCCCUCACGUCCAAGUUUAUUG
This 217-nucleotide long non-coding RNA is filed under the name Mytilus galloprovincialis (Mediterranean mussel). Lineage: Eukaryota; Metazoa; Mollusca; Bivalvia; Mytilida; Mytilidae. The record is from RNAcentral.